RNAcentral lists this ribosomal RNA (251 nucleotides) under uncultured bacterium. RNAcentral's name for it is "partial 16S ribosomal RNA". It matches the Rfam family "Bacterial small subunit ribosomal RNA", at positions 524 to 776 of the family's 1533-position model. The record is from RNAcentral.
UACGGGGGGGCAAGCGUUGUUCGGAAUUACUGGGCGUAAAGGGCUCGUAGGCGGCCAACUAAGUCAGACGUGAAAUCCCUCGGCUUAACCGGGGAACUGCAUCUGAUACUGGAUGGCUUGAGAUUGGGAGAGGGAUGCGGAAUUCCAGGUGUAGCGGUGAAAUGCGCAGAUAUCAGGAGGAACACCGGUGGCGAAGGCGGAUCUCUGGCCUUGCCUGACGCUGAGGCGCGAAAGCUAGGGGAGCGAACAGG